This 465-nucleotide ribosomal RNA is filed under the name uncultured bacterium. Its description in RNAcentral is "partial 16S ribosomal RNA". It matches the Rfam family "Bacterial small subunit ribosomal RNA", at positions 28 to 507 of the family's 1533-position model. The record is from RNAcentral.
GACGAACGCUGGCGGCGUGCUUAACACAUGCAAGUCGAACGGAAAGGCCCUGCUUGCAGGGUACUCGAGUGGCGAACGGGUGAGUAACACGUGGGUGAUCUGCCCUGCACUUCGGGAUAAGCCUGGGAAACUGGGUCUAAUACCGGAUAGGAGCCAUUUUUAGUGUGAUGGUUGGAAAGUUUUGUCGGUGUAGGAUGAGCUCGCGGCCUAUCAGCUUGUUGGUGGGGUAAUGGCCUACCAAGGCGGCUACGGGUAGCCGGCCUGAGAGGGUGGACGGCCACAUUGGGACUGAGAUACGGCACAGACUCCGACGGGAGGCAGCAGUGGGGAAUAUUGCACAAUGGGCGCAAGCCGGAUGCAGCGACGCCGCGUGGGGGAUGACGGCCUUCGGGUUGUAAACCCCUUUCGCUAGGGACGAAGCUUUUUGUGACGGUACCUAGAUAAGAAGCACCGGCUAACUACGUG